RNAcentral lists this ribosomal RNA (1187 nucleotides) under Escherichia coli. RNAcentral's name for it is "partial 23S ribosomal RNA". It matches the Rfam family "Bacterial large subunit ribosomal RNA", at positions 344 to 1537 of the family's 2925-position model. The record is from RNAcentral. Lineage: Bacteria; Pseudomonadati; Pseudomonadota; Gammaproteobacteria; Enterobacterales; Enterobacteriaceae.
GGAAAGGCGCGCGAUACAGGGUGACAGCCCCGUACACAAAAAUGCACAUGCUGUGAGCUCGAUGAGUAGGGCGGGACACGUGGUAUCCUGUCUGAAUAUGGGGGGACCAUCCUCCAAGGCUAAAUACUCCUGACUGACCGAUAGUGAACCAGUACCGUGAGGGAAAGGCGAAAAGAACCCCGGCGAGGGGAGUGAAAAAGAACCUGAAACCGUGUACGUACAAGCAGUGGGAGCACGCUUAGGCGUGUGACUGCGUACCUUUUGUAUAAUGGGUCAGCGACUUAUAUUCUGUAGCAAGGUUAACCGAAUAGGGGAGCCGAAGGGAAACCGAGUCUUAACUGGGCGUUAAGUUGCAGGGUAUAGACCCGAAACCCGGUGAUCUAGCCAUGGGCAGGUUGAAGGUUGGGUAACACUAACUGGAGGACCGAACCGACUAAUGUUGAAAAAUUAGCGGAUGACUUGUGGCUGGGGGUGAAAGGCCAAUCAAACCGGGAGAUAGCUGGUUCUCCCCGAAAGCUAUUUAGGUAGCGCCUCGUGAAUUCAUCUCCGGGGGUAGAGCACUGUUUCGGCAAGGGGGUCAUCCCGACUUACCAACCCGAUGCAAACUGCGAAUACCGGAGAAUGUUAUCACGGGAGACACACGGCGGGUGCUAACGUCCGUCGUGAAGAGGGAAACAACCCAGACCGCCAGCUAAGGUCCCAAAGUCAUGGUUAAGUGGGAAACGAUGUGGGAAGGCCCAGACAGCCAGGAUGUUGGCUUAGAAGCAGCCAUCAUUUAAAGAAAGCGUAAUAGCUCACUGGUCGAGUCGGCCUGCGCGGAAGAUGUAACGGGGCUAAACCAUGCACCGAAGCUGCGGCAGCGACGCUUAUGCGUUGUUGGGUAGGGGAGCGUUCUGUAAGCCUGUGAAGGUGUGCUGUGAGGCAUGCUGGAGGUAUCAGAAGUGCGAAUGCUGACAUAAGUAACGAUAAAGCGGGUGAAAAGCCCGCUCGCCGGAAGACCAAGGGUUCCUGUCCAACGUUAAUCGGGGCAGGGUGAGUCGACCCCUAAGGCGAGGCCGAAAGGCGUAGUCGAUGGGAAACAGGUUAAUAUUCCUGUACUUGGUGUUACUGCGAAGGGGGGACGGAGAAGGCUAUGUUGGCCGGGCGACGGUUGUCCCGGUUUAAGCGUGUAGGCUGGUUUUCCAGGC